Molecule: unclassified non-coding RNA, 301 nt
Filed under: Fusarium sp.
Lineage: Eukaryota; Fungi; Ascomycota; Sordariomycetes; Hypocreales; Nectriaceae
Description: partial contains 5.8S ribosomal RNA, internal transcribed spacer 2, and large subunit ribosomal RNA
Rfam family: 5.8S ribosomal RNA (bases 1-71)
Source: RNAcentral
GUGAAUCAUCGAAUCUUUGAACGCACAUUGCGCCCGCCAGUAUUCUGGCGGGCAUGCCUGUCCGAGCGUCAUUACAACCCUCAGGCCCCCGGGCCUGGUGUUGGGGAUCGGCGGAGCCCUCCGGGGCACACGCCGUCCCCCAAAUUCAGUGGCGGUCUCGCUGCAGCCUCCAUUGCGUAGUAGCUAACACCUCGCAACUGGAAGGCGGCGCGGCCACGCCGUAAAACCCCCAACUUCUGAAUGUUGACCUCGGAUCAGGUAGGAAUACCCGCUGAACUUAAGCAUAUCAAUAAGCGGAGGA